AACGAACGCUGGCGGCAGGCUUAACACAUGCAAGUCGAACGCAUCCUUCGGGGUGAGUGGCAGACGGGUGAGUAACGCGUGGGAACGUGCCCUUCAGUUCGGAAUAACCCAGGGAAACUUGGGCUAAUACCGGAUACGUGCGAGAGCAGAAAGAUUUAUCGCUGAAGGAUCGGCCCGCGUCUGAUUAGCUAGUUGUUGGGGUAAUGGCCCACCAAGGCGACGAUCAGUAGCUGGUCUGAGAGGAUGAUCAGCAACAUUGGGACUGAGACACGGCCACAACUCCUACGGGAGGCAGCAGUGGGGAAUAUUAGACAAUGGGCGCAAGCCUGAUCCAGCCAUGCCGCGUGAGUGAUGACGGCCUUAGGGUUGUAAAGCCCUUUCGUCCGGGACGAUAAUGACGGUACCGGAAGAAGAAGCCCCGGCUAACUUCGUGCCAGCCGCCGCCGUAA
This 449-nucleotide ribosomal RNA is filed under the name uncultured bacterium. RNAcentral describes it as "partial 16S ribosomal RNA". It matches the Rfam family "Bacterial small subunit ribosomal RNA", at positions 29 to 523 of the family's 1533-position model. The record is from RNAcentral.